UAGAGUGUUUAAAGCAGGCUUAAGCUUGAAUACAUUAGCAUGGAAUAAUGAAAUAGGACGUUUGAUCUUAUUUUGUUGGUUUCUAAGACCGCCGUAAUGAUUAAUAGGGAUAGUCGGGGGCAUCAGUAUUCAACUGUCAGAGGUGAAAUUCUUGGAUUAAUUGAAGACUAACUACUGCGAAAGCAUCUGCCAAGGAUGUUUUCAUUAAUCAGUGAACGAAAGUUAGGGGAUCGAAGACGAUCAGAUACCGUCGUAGUCCUAACCAUAAACUAUGCCGACUAGGGAUCGGACGAUGUUAUAUUUUGACUCGUUCGGCGCCUUACGGGAAAC
This 330-nucleotide ribosomal RNA is filed under the name uncultured Glomus. RNAcentral's name for it is "SSU rRNA". It matches the Rfam family "Eukaryotic small subunit ribosomal RNA", at positions 767 to 1098 of the family's 1831-position model. The record is from RNAcentral. Lineage: Eukaryota; Fungi; Glomeromycota; Glomeromycetes; Glomerales; Glomeraceae.